Molecule: long non-coding RNA, 413 nt
Organism: Paramisgurnus dabryanus
Lineage: Eukaryota; Metazoa; Chordata; Actinopteri; Cypriniformes; Cobitidae
Source: RefSeq, a predicted model, not a curated record
AAGAUGGCGAGGUAUACAGACGAACAGAUGAACAUGGUUACAGACACAAACAUCGGCCAUCCCUGCAGCAGUGGCACCGAGACGUUCGUCGAUGCUAUUAAUAUCCAUACCAACCCUCCAAAGACCUACAGAAAGACAGCAGGUGCAUGCAACAGGUGGAUUACCGAAUUCAAAUAUUUUACUUGACACAACAACUGAAAACAAAGAAUCCCUUGUGAAGGACAAAUCACGAUAAGGACGUGUAACCGAAAGCAAACAACUUAAACAAACACUUACAAUCUCCAAACAAAUCAAAGCUCCGGAGUAAGUCCUCAGUAUUCCCAGACCGCGCGGCAGUGAGACGGUUGGCGCUGGGAAGGAGGUCGCGGCUGCGGCUGGGUUUGCUGCUGCUUCCGCCAUCCUCCUCUCUCACA